RNAcentral lists this small RNA (151 nucleotides) under Sphingomonas aerophila. RNAcentral's name for it is "caulobacter sRNA CC2171". It matches the Rfam family "caulobacter sRNA CC2171". The record is from Rfam by way of RNAcentral. Lineage: Bacteria; Pseudomonadati; Pseudomonadota; Alphaproteobacteria; Sphingomonadales; Sphingomonadaceae.
CAACAACUGAAAGGAGGUGGUCGAAUGUCUCAUUGUCCCAUGCCGCUCGUGGCAAGCCUGAUGGGUGCGACCUCCGCCGUGGGGUUCGUCGCCUGACGAAAGCCGCGAACGGCUGACAAUGGAAAGGCCGUCCCCGAGAGGGGGCGGCCUU